RNAcentral lists this unclassified non-coding RNA (262 nucleotides) under uncultured Melanogastraceae. RNAcentral describes it as "sequence contains ITS2". The record is from RNAcentral. Lineage: Eukaryota; Fungi; Basidiomycota; Agaricomycetes; Boletales; Melanogastraceae.
AAUUCUCAACCGUCUCUUGAUUUAUUUCGAGGGAAUGGCUUGGAUUUUGGGAGUUGCCGGUGACCCACUAGGGUAGGUCGGCUCUCCUUAAAAGCAUUAGCGGAAGGUGACAAGCCAGAUGCAUGAACGGCCUUCGACGUGAUAAUGAUCGUCGUGGCUGGAGUGCUCAGGCAUGGAUCGUCUUUGCUUCUAAUCGAAUCACGACUUGGGUGGACUUUUUGCUUCUGGCGAAGGGAAAGCUCUGGUCGCGCUCUCUUUUGAA